This 5227-nucleotide long non-coding RNA is filed under the name Sus scrofa (pig). Its description in RNAcentral is "lncRNA (ENSSSCG00000057885.1)". Lineage: Eukaryota; Metazoa; Chordata; Mammalia; Artiodactyla; Suidae. The record is from RNAcentral.
GGACACUGGGACACAGGUUCAAUCCCCAGCCUGGCACAGUGGUUUAAGAAUCUGGCAUUGCCAUAGCUGUGGCAUGAGUCUCAACUGUGGCUUGAAUCUGAUCCCUGGUCCAGGAACUCCAAGUGCCAUGGGGUGGCCAAAAAGGAAAAAAAAGUUAUUAUAAAGAAGGGGUGGCUAAAUAUGGUAUCUCCAAAUAAUAAACAUUGUAGAGCCAUUAAAAUGGUAUUAAUGUAUACUGAACUACCUAUUAUAAUCCCAAUUUAUUAAAACAUGCACCAGGAUCUCACAUAUAAAAUGCUCUAAGGGGGGAUUUCCCAUUGUGGCUUAGGUUAAGAACCCAAUCACUGCUGUCUCUGUGAAGAUGUAGGUUCGAUCCCUGGCCUUGCUUGGUGGGUUAAGGAACCAUUGUUGCCACAAGCUGUGGCAAAGGUAACAGAAGCAGCUUGGAUCUGGCAUUGCCGUGGCUAUGGCAUAGCCCUGCAGAUAUAGCUCUGAUUCAACCCCUGGCCUGGGAACUUCUAUAUGACACAGGUAAGGCCAUAAAAAGAUAAAUUAAAAAAUAAAAAUAAAUUUGUCAACGGGGGAAUGAAGGGUGGUUUUAAGUUCUUUCUUCAUAUAAUCUUUGAUACAGGUUCACUAAUACAUUUACUCUCAAACUGGUAUCCCUUCAGAUAUUCUGUUGGUUUACCGAGUCAUUCUAACUUAAACUCAGUUAUUAUUCCAUGGCAGGGAGAACAGUCUGGAUAGCAAGAAAUGACAUCUUGUUUGACUGUCAAAACUCUCCAACAAGAGUGCUGCAACUUGAUCUCUCAAAUGUGAGUCUCACCAACCCAGAGAUGUCAUGUACCAGCAUGUUUGGAAAGAUAUUUGUGUAGCCAUCAGAAUGCAUCCAUUACCUUUCUGUAUGGUCCCUCACAUUCUAGAUUUGGAUGCAAGCCUAAAACAUCUUUGGCUCCAGUGUACAGAAGUCCCUAGAGAGAGAAACAGAACUGGUAUUUCUUGAACACCCAGUAUGUGUAAAGCGCAACACCGCAGUUCACCAGUAUUUCUAAGUGAAAAGAAUGUCUUAGGAAGAGUGAAAAGCUAUCCUCAAGACAAAGUAUCAAGCUGAGAAUCACACUUUUGUCAACGUCAACCCCAGGGAAGGCAUGGUAAAAAUAAAGCCACACCAGGGUGGUGAAAAUAGAAAUCAAAAGGAGAAAGAUUUGGAGCCUAAUGCUGUAAUUAGUUUUGUAAUUACAUAAGACUGUCCAGAACUGGGAAUGUGAGCUCUUAGAAAGUAAAUAAAUUUAAAUGAGAAGUGCUUAACUAAAAAUUUUAUAAGACACUAAUUGAUUUUAGUAAAAAGGCAUUAUGUAAAGUGUAGUCAGCAGGAUUACUGAAAUGGGGAAGUUCGCAUCUUAGAGUUUAAUGGAACAUCAUUCUAAUUGCAGAAACCCAGUCUCAGCAGAAAAUAGGAGCCAACAGUAUGUGAUUAGCUAGAAGGAGGUUGUUUUUCAUGGCUGAGAGGAAGAGAAGGCAGGGCCUGGGGGAAAAAAAUCUCUUCUGGUUUUGCAGCUACACAAGUGAUAACCAACUGAUUUCUGACCUGAACACCAAACUCAAGAAUUCCAUAAUCAGUCAAACAUUUCUUGGUGUUAGAGAAAGGUAUCCCUUCAAUCUGGGCCACUGGUUCAAGCAUUGGUCCAGAGAAGCAAGGACAAAGUCAAGACGUGAGAGAAAGUGAGGCAUAUUUUUACUUUUUCUCCUAUAAAGACUUGAAGCCAUAUUUAUUUUCCAAUAAAUAUCCUCAUUCUACUUUCUCACAAUCUUUCUCUAACAAAGGAUAAUUCCCUGUUAUCUUUUUAUCUAAAAAGUUCCUCUCAAAAAGGUAGUAAAAUUGUUGUGUUAACAUGAGCAAUACCAAGUCAGUUCUAAUGAUUGAGUUUGAAAUGAAAUAUAGUUAUUCAGAAGGACAUAUUACAAAGCCGAGCUCUGUUUUAUGGUAUCCCUAGGGAGAAACCCUAGUGGAUAUUGAUUUAAUGAGUCAAAGUAAAGGCUUUGUAGGUAAAAUUGCCUAAUGAUAUAAUUAGGCAUUUGAUCAAAUGUAAUGUUUGAGCUCUCCUUUAGUAUUGCAAUGGACAUGUAGAAACAAUAGUAAUUCUUUGGUUCUCAAUUAAAAAACAGGAUGGGUCAAUAAACAAAAACGUUUCCUUUUGUUUUCUUCUGAUCUUUAGAACAUCUGUGAUAAGGUAUAGAUCAAUUACUAGAGAUGCCUUUAGACCUGACAUGUGUUCAACAGGUACACUGAUUUAAUCAUUCAGGAUAAUUCUGUGCUCACCUAGUGCAGGUUAGGAUUCAGAUUGAUAGAUACACACUACUAAUAAAUAACAGAUGGGUAACAAGGACCUACUGUAUAGCACAGGGGAAUUUACUCAAUUCUAUGUAGUAACCUAUAUGGGAAAAGAAUCUGAAAAGGAAUGAAAUAUAUCCAUAUAUAAUAUAUGGAUACAUAUAUACUCAUCUAUAAUUUACUUCACUAUGCCUGAAAUUAACACAACUUUGUAAGUCGACUAUUUCAAUAAAAAAUUUUUAAAAAGAUACUACAAUCUUCAUUCUUUCAAUUGUAUCCGAAACUUAAUUGUCUGGACAGCACCAAGAUACCAAGGAGAAAUGUACUCAAUUUACCCGUUAGACUCUGAGAGGUUUUGAAGGGUAGGCAGAUUAAGCUCAGGAAACUUGACUCUUUGAAUAAUGGCGACAGUUGUUAGGAAAAUUGUAUGUUGACAAUCUAGCCCCUCCAGGGUGAUGAAUGGUUUUCCCUUGGAUUUAUUUUUUAAUUUAUUUUUUAAUUUUUUUAAUGAUUUUUAUUUUUUCCAUUAUAAUAAGCAAACUAUUUUUUCACUUUGAGAUCAUUACAGGGGUUACCAAGAUAGCAGAGAUCUGGGUCCCUUCUAUCUUUUACCCAGAUUAUACACAGGUUCCAUCUAAUAUCUAACACAUCGAAAGCAGGAAUUUCACAUUGGCACAAUGUCUGUGUGUGUGCACUGUGUUAGAUAGAAAACUAUUCAAUUACCACAGAUCUGCCACUCUCCAUUCCUAAUCCUUGACAGCUGCUAACUUCAAAUUCCAUCUCUAUAAAAAUUCAGCCUGAUGCCCUUGAAAUCCAUCAUGUGUCAACAGUUCAGGCAAUUUUAUUGCUGAGUGGUGUCCCAUGUACAAUGAUACACAGUUUGUUUAGCCUAUUUAUCUAUUAAGGUGUAUUUGGAUUGGCUGUUACAAAUAAAAUUGCCAUGACCAGUCAUGUACAAGUUUUUGUGUGAACAUUUUUCCAUUUGUAUGUGACAAAUGCCUAGGAGUACAAUUGCUGGGUCACAUGCUAAGGGUAUGUAUAAUUUUUUUUUUCAAGAAUGGUUACACCAUUUUACAGGGUGAGUUUUGAGUGCUCUUUAUGCAUUAUAGAUAUGAAUCCUUUGAUAGCUAUGUACUUUGCAAAUAUUUUCUCCCCAUCCGUAGCUUGUCUUUGCCUAACUGUAUCUUUCACAGAGUACAGGUUUUAAAUUUUGAUGAAGUCCAAUUUAUCAAUUUUUCUGUUUGAUCAUGCCUUUUGUGUCAGGUCUAGCAACCUUCCAUCAAGCCCUAGGAGGUCCUAAAGAUUUUCUCUCAUGUUGUCUUCUAUAAGGUUAAUAGUUUCAUGUUUAUAUUUAAAUAUAUAAUCCAUUUUGAGUUAAUUUUUCUGUAAUAAUAUGUGAGGUUUAAGGUUCAUUUUUUUUUGCCUAUGGAUGUCUAAUUACUCCAGUACCUUGUGCUGAAAAGACUAUACUUCCUCCACUGAUUUGUUUUUGCAACUUUCUCAAAAAUCAUUUGGCUAUAACUGUGUGAGUCUAUUUUGGGAUUCUAUAUUCUGUUCUGUUUAUCCAUGUGUCUAUCCCUCCACCCAACAUAAGUCCUGAUUGGCAUAUGCAUACUAUGUUAUAUGGAAUGAUGGGUCAGCAGGGAACUUCUGAAUAGCACAGGGAGGUCUACCCAAUAUUCUGUGGUGGUCUCUAAGGGAAAAGAAUCUGAAAAAGAAUGGAUGUGUGUAUAUGUAUAACUGAAUCACUCUGUUGUUCAGCAGAAAUUAUCACAACAUUGUAAAUCAACUAUACUUCAAUAAAGCUUAAAAUGUUGUAAUUACUACAUAAUCUUGAACAUGAUAAAGUGAUUACUUCCACUUUAUUGUUUUUUUCCAGAAUUAUUUUUAGUUAUGUUAGUUGUGUUGCUUUUCCAUGUAAAUUUUAUAGUUGUCUCUAUCUACAAAACUAUGAUUUGUUAAAUCUGUAUGGUAAUUCUAGGAGAGCUGGUUUUUACUAAUGGGAGUCAUAUUCUGUGAACAUGGAGUAUUUCUCCACUUAUUCAGAUUCUUUUGUAGCAUUGUUUUUAGCUUACAAGUCCUAUACCGGUUUUCAUAGAUUUACACAUUAAGUGUUUCAAGUUUUUGGAAAUUGUAAUUGGUAUUGUAUUUUAAAUUUCAUUUUCCAUGUAUUCAUUGGUAGUAUAUAGAAAUAUAAUACAGUUAAUUUUUGUGUGUUUAUCAUGUAUUUAACACCUCAUUAAACUUAUUGCUAUUAGGAGGUUUUGUGUUUGUUUUAUAGAUUCUCUGGGGUUAUCUAUGUAGAACAUCAUGCUUUCUACAGAAGAGACAGUUUUAGUUCUUCUUUUUUGAUACAUGUGCUUUUUCUUUUAUUUCCUUAUCAAGCUGGAUAAAAAUCCCUGUACCGUGGUGAAGAAGAGUGGUGAGGUCAGUCAUCUUUGUUUUCUUCCUGAUUUUAAAGCACAAGCAUUUAGUCUUUCACCAUAAAGUACAAUAUUAACCUUAGUCGUUGUUGUUUUUGUAGAUGUGCUUUAUCAAUUUGAGGGCGUUCAUCUCUAUUCUUAUCUUUCUGAGAGAUAUUUAAAAUUAUAAACAGGCACUGAAUGUUGUCAGAUGUUUUCUUCCUGCCCUGACUGAUACGAUCUUGUCAUGUUUUCUUUCAUCUGUUAAUAGGGUAAGUUAUAUCAGCUGCUAUCUGAGUAUUUUGACAACCUUGCAUCCCUGGAAGAAACUGCAAUUGGUCAUGACAUAUAUUUCUUUUCAUAUAUUACUGAAGCCUAUUUGUAAAUAUUUUGUUAAGGAAUCUUGGGUUUAUGUCCAUGAGGGAUACUGCUGUAUACUUGCUCUUUUAUAUCGCCUUUGUCUGGUGUGGAUUUAUAAUAACACUAGUUUCAU